AGGAUAUCCAGCACAACUGAUUCUGAUAGCUUCUAAGACACCACCACAUCGCAGUUGCUGGAUCACAUUCAGAUUCUCAAAGAUACAAGGCUUAAGGGCAUUAUUAGGCUUGACACAUCUGAUGUAGUGAGGCUCUGUUGAACUUAAUGUUUCCAUUAAAGAUUGCAGUUGUAGCUUAAAACGAGACCCUAUGGAGGAGAAUUUGGACGAUUUCGAUGAUUCUUCAGGUAGAGGAGGAAACAAACCCGCCACAAAAGUACAUUUUGAGGCUGUUAACAGAACCUGAUGUUCUGCAACCACAUAAUCUUUGUUCUUAUCCAGA
This 322-nucleotide unclassified non-coding RNA is filed under the name Hevea brasiliensis (rubber tree). Lineage: Eukaryota; Viridiplantae; Streptophyta; Magnoliopsida; Malpighiales; Euphorbiaceae. The record is from RNAcentral.